This 778-nucleotide long non-coding RNA is filed under the name Numida meleagris (helmeted guineafowl). RNAcentral describes it as "lncRNA (ENSNMEG00000005777.1)". The record is from RNAcentral. Lineage: Eukaryota; Metazoa; Chordata; Aves; Galliformes; Numididae.
AAAAAGGUCGAUCCUUGGAUUUCUUAGUCCUAAUUCUUAUUUUUUUUUUUUCAGUUAAUGAUUUAAUGAGAGCUACAGUUUUCCAGUGAAUAGAGAAUCAUUAAUCACACACUUUUGACAUCUCUCUGAAUACCUGAAGCACAAGGGAAAAUGACAGAGUUACGUACUACAAAACAAGUAUUGGUACAUGCAAGACUUGGUGCAUUAUUUUGCAAGCAUACUUUAAUUUGUUUGGACAAAGAUUAACAAAGACUUUCUAUCACUGAUCAUAUGGAUCUGGUUUUCUACUUGAUGUGAAUGUUGGAGCUUGAAGGAAGCUUUGAGAUAAUGGGCUGUGGAGGAUAGGAGAAUGAACCAGUCUCCUUCCUUGUUCUUCAGUUCAGACAAUCCUCAGUUUGGACAACUGGAGGAUGAAGAUCCUAGGACAUACUGAAAGACUAACAGCUUCAGAAACACCAGAGCAAGGCAUACCAUUUACAUUAACACUCAGGGAGGAAGAAGAUUGACCUACUUGAAGGAGAGAAGAAAGCAGCACCAGCUGAAGAAUCUGGGGACCGUCUGCCACCUCUUCUGCCAGAUGGGUGAAAGGUGCGUCCUUCCUGCAGUGCCUCCACAUUGCUGGGUGCUCGCCCUUACAGCAGUAAUUAUAAGGGAGAAAUGUAGCUGUAUACAAUCAAUUCCGUAUUAAGCAUCCUCUCCUGUUAUUUAACGUUGAACUGAUGCAGAGCUUAAUGACUCACUACUUUCUGACAAAUAAUAAAUAUACCACACAGAGGCA